This is a long non-coding RNA of Lathyrus oleraceus (garden pea), 2883 nucleotides long. RefSeq lists it as uncharacterized. The record is from RefSeq and is a predicted model, not a curated record. Lineage: Eukaryota; Viridiplantae; Streptophyta; Magnoliopsida; Fabales; Fabaceae. The transcript has 2 exons.
CUGAUUCAGCGUACAUGUUCACUCAUUCGGCCGUCUUCACGCGCUUCCUCUGCUCCCUUCGACAAACACUCAAACACAGAAUCCAUAGAGAAGAACAAAAGUAUUAAAUUCUCCAAUACCUGAAAUCGGACUCGUCCUCUUCGAAUUAACUUGAAUCAACAUCAAUCGUGCACUUCGCAUUCAAGCAUCUUGAUUCAGCAGAAGAUUCACCGAAACAAAGUUAUGAACAGAUAACGACUCUUAACCCUCCUCAGUUUCAAUCUUUCCUUCUUCUUCUCCAACUCGUCGAGAUCAUAUGCGUUACAUUUGGAGUUUAUGAAUUGUUUCGCGAUUGGUGACAUAAUAUGGUAUUGCAACGCGUAAGAAUCAUUAGUUGGCAGAAAGAGAGCAGAAGAAAGCUAAACGAAUUGGACUCUGAUACAGUGGCUUCAGUGUUGUCAAAGACGUUUGCAUAGAUCGCGAGAAUGGUUAUGGUAUGAAAUCGCAAUUCUAAUGCAAAAGAUAUGAUGCAGCAGAUGAUGGAUUCAGAAGGAAGAUGUCGGCGAUGCAGGACCUGUAUGAGGAUGAGGGUGCAGUAGAGAAUUUAAGGGAUUGGAGAGGGAUGGGUGGAUUUGAAGAUUGAAGGUCUUUGCUGCAGAGUGAAAAGAUCCUGCUGCUAGUGAAAAGACUCUCGUUGCAGAAGGAAAGCUCCUCUUGCAGAGUGAAGGUAAGCCUCUUUUAUACUUCUCUCCUCUUCCUUCCUUUCAAUUUCUCUAUUUUUAAUCUGUUAGAGUAUAAAAGUUAGUUAGGUUAGUUGUGCAGUUAGUUAUAAAAUGUUUAUCUUAAUUUGGUUAAGCAGUUAGGUUGGUUAAAAUGUGGUUCAAAAUUGUUAGUUACCAGUGAGGUUGUUAGAAGUUGGUUAGGGGUUGUCAUAUAGUUCUGUUAUGAAAUCUACGGUUUUUAUUGAGUUCUGGAAGUUAUGGAGAAGGUUCCACUACCUUUCUGUUAUGACAACUUGCUUCUUCCUUUUCUACUUUUCCCGUUUCCUAUUACUGUGAGGGAUGAUGCUUUUAUCUCCUUUAUUUCUCUUGCAGGGUUUGGAAGUUUUAUUGGUUAUUGAUAAGUUAGUUAGAAAAACGGUUGAGAGUAGUUAUAAGAGAGUCUGGUUCAGGUCAGUUAAGGGUUACGAUGUUAGUUACGCAUUUCGGUUAGUUCCCGAAAAUACUUGUUAGUCUCCUAUUAAAAAUAGUUAGAAAUUGACAAAAAAUACUUGGUGUUACUUGUUAUAUCCGUUAUUUGCUUCUGAUUUCUUCCUAGCCAAUUAAUUGGAAAUUCAGUUUCAAAGUGUAGAUUACAUCAGACCCGGUUGCUACGGAUGGUUAGUUGCUAACUUACUUUCAUGGUGGAUUUCCAAAUGGAGAUAAUUCCAAAUGGUUAGUUCCAAGAAUCCUGUUAAACUAACUGUCUUGAGAAUUAGUUAUAUGUUAAAUUCCAGGUUGUCAAUUCUAUUAGGAGUUAAGCCUUGUCGUUGCAAAAAAAAUCAAGUCAUUCAAAAGAUAUGAUUUACUGUCAAAUAACUGAACCUAACUUGUUAUUUUUGAAAAUUGUGAAACAAGAAUUCGACUUGAUCUCGUCCCAUGACCUUGAUAAAGGUUGCUUAGCUUGUACAUUAUGAGUUGUCGCUUCAGGAAUUUCACCCAGGGCCAUGUUUGGAUAAGCCAGAUGCUAUUGGUAGCUAUCGUGGGAUGUUAAUUUGGUAAUGUGAAUGUAAAUGGUGAAUGUUGUCAGCGAAGAGUUAUGUUGUUACGAACAAAUGGCUAUGUCUAUGGUAUGUACCUUAUUUGUGCUUCCUUGAACUAUGGUCGACUUGGAUAUACGUUGGAUUGUUAUGAUGCUUAGUGAGUGUGUAUGACCGUUGUGAAAUCGUGAUAUAGCCGUAUGGUUCUGUUUGGGCUUGUAGCUAAUAAUUGGUUGUUCUGUUCAUGGGAAAACAAUGCCAACUUGGAUGAGGUUCUGCUUAUGCUGUUGUUGUUUUUUGGUUAAUUCAUGUCUGAAAUGAUAUGGACUUUUAUGAUGCAAUUCCCAUUCUAUUUUGUAGGUUAAUGGUCAUGUUGCAGGAUGGUGUAGCAAGGUUGGUCAUGCAUCUAGACUACUGUUUGGUUCAGUUAGAGUUAAUAUUCAUAUAAGUUAUGAAAUCGUGUUGUUUGGUAAUUGUCAUCUCAUGAUGCCUUGGCUUGAAGAAUCCUUGCUAUGCCAUUCAUGUGAAUGUUACUGGCUUACUGCACUGUCUUGCUAACUGUCAAUUAUAUGGAUGUUUGGUGUAGGAUUCUGGCCAAUUUUGUUUUUGCCAGGUCGAUUAUUGAGGGGUCGAAGCUUAAAUGGUGAUGCAGGCUUGUUAUAAUACUGAACAUGUAUGUUCUGAUUGAAUAAAUGGCAGUAUGACAACAUGUAUUUUGGUUGGGUGAAUGGCUAAGGGUUUAUAGGUUAUGAUGAGUGAAAUUCCAUGAAUGGUGAAUGGCCAUGUAGCCAUAGUUUUGCUAUGUAUUAUGGUUUGGAAACAUGGUUACGAUAACAUGAUGAUUUUACUGACCUAUGAUUGUUAGAUGUAUGGUUUAUUGUUUUGGAAUGUUUCUAACAUGGCUUGGUUGGUGUUUGUAGGAUGUGCAAAGUGUAAUGGUGGAAUCAAAGGAAUGACUUAUUCUUGAAGAAAGUGGUGAAGCUUUGGAAUUGGGUGCACAAAGCUACUUGGGUUAUAAGGACUUGUCGUGGCAUUUGCUAUGGAAUAUUUUUGUAAUUUUGUCAUAAAUUAGAAUCAGAAUAUGUAUGUUUGGGAUUGAAACUACAAUCUAAUGUAAAUUUUGGUUAUGAGUUUAAUGAAUCUAUAAUGAGUUUGUUCUAAUGAAA